RNAcentral lists this long non-coding RNA (627 nucleotides) under Monodelphis domestica (gray short-tailed opossum). RNAcentral describes it as "lncRNA (ENSMODG00000033265.2)". The record is from RNAcentral. Lineage: Eukaryota; Metazoa; Chordata; Mammalia; Didelphimorphia; Didelphidae.
AUGGCCUAUUACAGACAUGUGCUAGCAAAUGACAAAUCAGAAACAACUGACAGACACCCUGGGCUGUCCUAUGUCAAGCUUAAGCUACCACUGGUACAAGUGAGAUGCAGGAAGCGAUAUAAAAAAGUGGUCUAUAUAUUUCACAUCACUUCCUCUCUUGGGCUCUUUUUGCAGAGAGAUGGCUCUGGCUCUUUUGGCAGAGAGGUGACUGGUGACAGGGUGCUGGAUGUCUCAGCAACUUGGUGUGGCUGCAACUAUUGUCCAGGUUUGGUGAAGGGGGCAGACAUGAGCAACUGGAGGAAUCAGUAUUCUUAAAGAAAGUGCUUCUUGAGUUAAAGUCCUAAAAGAAGUUAAAGAUUCUACAAGACUAGAUUUGUAGAAGAAAGAAGAAUUCCAGGCAUGUGGGAUGAAGUGGCAAAGGUGCAGUGAAGAAGAAUAUGGAAGACUGGGUAUGGGAAAUAUCAAGUAAGUUGAUUAUAGAACAUAGAAUACAUUCGGGUAUAAUGUGCAGUAAAUCUUGAGAGAAAAACUUGUACUGAAUUGUGAAAGACUUUAAAAGUCACCAGAAGAGGUGGUAUUUUUUUUCCAGAAAUAAUGAGUGAUUGGAGCUUGUUCAGAGACAGCAUG